Molecule: ribosomal RNA, 253 nt
Filed under: uncultured bacterium
Lineage: Bacteria
Description: partial 16S ribosomal RNA
Rfam family: Bacterial small subunit ribosomal RNA
Source: RNAcentral
UACAGAGGCCCCAAGCAUUAUCCGGAAUCACUGGGCGUAAAGGGUGUCAAGGCGGUCGUAUUAGUCUUCCGUAAAAUCCGUGGGCUCAACCUACGGCUCGCGGGAGAAACGGUACGACUUGAGGGUGGGAGAGGUGCGUGGAACUCACGGUGUAGGGGUGAAAUCCGUUGAUAUCGUGGGGAACACCAAAGGCGAAGGCAGCGCACUGGCCCAUUCCUGACGCUCACACACGAAAGCCAGGGUAGCGAACGGG